AAUAAAAAAAAAGUCUUGGGUAUGUGCAAAUUCAGACCACCUUUCCUGGGGUUUAGACAAAUUCGCCCUUUUAAUUAUUAUUUUUUUCUUUUUGGUUUUCAAUCAUGCACAUUUAUGUUCUUGUAUGCUAUUCCCAAAAUCUUGGGGGUAUGCUCAUCAAAUACAUAGAAAAUAAAUCUAGAAAUUUGGUUUCAAAAUUGCUACAGUAGCAUAUUUCAAAAUGUUUGAUUACAUUGGAUGAUUUUUUUUUUUUUUUUUUUGGCAAUGGAUUAGAUUGGAUGAUGAAUUGAUGAUAAACAAAAUAUUUCCAAAAGAUGUGCUAGAGAAAAAUGUGUUGAGAAAAAAAUAGAGGGCCCUACAAGUCAGACAUGUAAUUGCAUGUGCUCUACAAGUCAAACAUGUAAUUGCAUGUGCACAUAUGCAACUCGGUCUAUAGUGUGUUGCUUCUUAGCAACAUGCAUGUGUGGACUCUACGUUUGUAGUUGCCUCCAUAUUGGCCAAACCAAUUAACCAACCAAUAUCCAAAAUGUCAACGUUCAUUCAACCUUCUUUCUGAUUCCUACAAUGGAAUAUCGUUUACUUUUGCUCCUCCUUCUACUACUAUCCAUCUCUGUUUUUCUUCAACUAAAACCAUUAACAGCAACAACAGCAACAACAACUCAAACUACUUCCGCCUCUUCACCUUAUCUCUCUUCAUCACUCUUCUUACCUAACUACCAAAAAAUGCUACAAAACUUCAAGAUCUAUAUCUACAAUGAUAUGAUUAUUGACAAUCAAAUAACCUUCCCUUCCAAUAUUGAAUCACUUUUCCACUAUUCUCUUCUUGAAAGCUCUUUUAUAACAAAAAAACCCCAAUGAAGCUCAUUUCUUCUACUUAUAUUUUUCUCCUAGCUCUUCUUACAAAUUUAUUUCAAAUAAGAUUAAAGAUUUACAGAUUCAAUAUCCUUUUUGGAAUAGAACACUUGGUGCUGAUCAUUUUUAUAUUUCAUGUAACGGUAUUGGGUAUGAGUCAGAUCGGAAUAUAGUUGAGUUAAAGAAAAACUCAGUUCAAAUAUCAUGUUUUUCUCCUAUGAAAAAUGAUCGUUUUAUUCCUCAUAAAGAUAUCUCUUUACCACCUUUAAUAACUGUAGAUUUUCAAACGGAUACUGUCAACAUAGUACCAAUCUCGAAGAAGAAAUAUUUCGGUUAUUUCAACAACCGAGAUAUAGAUAAUCUUGAUCCUGUUAUUGAUUUUAUCGAGGAAUUGAGAAAUGAUCCUGAUUUUAUGACUGACACUGAACCGUAUGAUUAUGAUUGGGUUUCAAAUAUUAAGUUUUGUUUGUUUUUCUUCACUGAUAAAUUUGUUUCAAUUUCGGGUUUUGAAAAAGCAUUACGCUAUGGAUGUGUGCCGGUGGUGAUUACUGACCGUUCGAUUGUUAAUUUGCCGUUUGUUGAUGUGUUGAAAUGGAUGGAGAUUGCUGUGUUUGUUGAUAUAAAGGGUGGACUUAAGAAUUUGAAGCAAGUGGUAGGUCACAGGUGCGAAGGAGAGAAGUAUGAGAAGAUGAGAGAGUUGGGGAUGAAGGCCAGUAAGCAUUUUGUUUGGAACCAUUUUAGUCCACAGCCAUAUGAUGCCUUCUAUACUGUAUUGUAUCAGUUAUGGUUGAGGAGACAUACUAUUCGAUACACAAGAAGAGAGAUUAUCUAGAGAAAUAAAUAUGUAUUUCUUUCAUAUAUAUAAAACUAUAAAAGUACUGUAUUUUUUUUGCCUAGUGAUAUAUCUCUAUCUCUAGAGAAAUAUGUAUUUCUUCAUAUAUUUAUAUAAUAUAUAUAUAUAACUAUAAAAUUGUACAGUAUUAUGUACUGUAUUUCUUUGCCCAGUGAUGUAUCUCCAUUCUCACAAGGUUUCAGAAGCAUAGGUGAAAAAAUCGUUUAGGGGCGGAUAUCCGAUCUGCCAAAAACCGGAUUAUUCCACGGAUAUCCGACCUCCCGUGUCGGAUUUUUGAGGUUUGGCAAAUUCAAAAAAACCGGAAUUUUUCAUAGAUAUUCGCGAAAAAUUCGGCAAAUUGGGAGGUUUUCUGCACUUUCCGUGUUUUUUUUUCUGAUUUCGAUAUAUAAACUUAUAAUUAAAAGAAAAACAUACAUUACAAAUUAAACACACGACAAAUCAUACAAGGAAGCUAAGACGGAACUAUUACACAAGAUAGUUUUACUCAUAGGUGAAAAAAUCGUAAAUAUCGGGCGGAUAUUCAUAGAACUUUUAUAUGUUUACAAUACAAGAACUAAACACAAACAACCUCAUUACAACUCAACCCAUAGUUUUAUUUUAAUAAUCAAAAUAAAAGACAUGUUAACCCCAGAAUGAUAGACGCCCCUUGUCAAACCGAUGAGCUUCGAGUCGCAUGCGUGUGGGGACGAACUCAGUACAGUAAUAUUCCCAUGACAUUGUUUGCUCGUACGACCUGAAUUGGUCAAUAUGCAUAUCAUAUGCAUCUUGAUCCAUACAAUACGGAGCAAAUGAUUCAAAGAUAGGAAAUCUCGAGUAUUGUUGAACCGGCAUUAAUGUAUCGGCUGACUGCACGUCGGACCCACUUGUCAUUGGGGCCAACCAACUCCCUAUAUUAGGAAACCAAGAACCACUGUCAUCUGGUUGGGUUUGGUAGGAUGGUACACUGGAAUCAUCACUUUGGGAGGUUCCUAUGUUACCAUAAGAAAAAUGAGGGUAAACAUAGGUAGGUUGGAUGUUGGUUUGAGAAUAAGGGAGGUUCCACGAACCUUGGGAAGAAAACUGGUCAGGAAUGUUCCAUGAACCUUGGGAAGAUACCCUAGAUGAUUUUGUUUCCGUUUUAGGAUGCGGUCUUUUCUGUCGAGGUCGUUUUCCUUCUCUUGGUUGUUGCCAUCCAGCAUGGUCUUCAUCUUGGGUGGCAAAAAGAAAUUGAGACUCCCCCCGUAAAAUGAAUCGCUUCUGGGCGUGCUUUUUUUUCGUUUCUUUCUGAUAUAUUGCUCUUGGAGGGCCAUCAAGUUCGUCGCGAAAGUUUCCAAACGUCUAGUGCCUUUUGGACCUUUUUAUGAUAAUCUCAUCGAAAAUUCUAGUUCGGGGGGAUUAAAAAUAAAUGUGUUAAUUUUAUAAUCGAAAAUUUCAUAAAUUUCGAUAAAUAUCGGUUUUUGCCGAAUUAUGCCGCGAAUAUCCGAUAAAUGCCGACCGGCAUGGGGUGUUUUAAAAUCCGUUUAUAUGCCGUACCGUGCCGAUCUCAAAAAAAAACGGAAUAUAUCGCGAAUAUCCGGUCGGCAGAAACGAUUUUUUCACCUGUGUUCAGAAGUAUCCACAAUUCCACGUACAAUAGGAAAUUAUACAUAGAAAAGGUAUUACAUAUUACAAUUUUCAACAACGGUAAGAAAAAUUGCUCAACAAACCGACCGACCGACCAACCGACGCUAUUAGUUAUCUGAAAGAAUUGUUUCUCUCUCUCCUUUUCUCUUCUAUUCACUAUUCAGCAAGAAAAGAAUUGUUUCUCUCUCUCUCUCUUCUCAAAGAUUUGUUAUCGAGCAAUUUCUUCUCUCUUCUCGAUCGAUCGAAAAAGCAAUCUCUCUCUACCUUCUCAUCGAUUUGUUUCUCUCUCUACCUUCUCAACGAUUUGUUUCUCUCUCUUCUCGAUCGAUCGACAAAGCAAUCGUUUGUUCGAUUCAACAAUCUAAUAUCUCGCUCUUCAAAAUCAUGAAAUCGUUUGCCAUUGUUAAGUAAGUAUUAAUUCGAUUUUUGGAAUUCAAGUUGUUGUUGAUGUUGAUGAUCAUCAUCAUCUAUUCAAAAACCCUAACAAAUGAAUUACAAAUUGAUGUUGUGAUAGUGAUUCUUUAGGUUUUCUUAUUUAAUUUGCUAAACCCUAAAUCACACUGUGCGUUCUGUUGAUGAUCAUCAAUUCAAGUUGUUGUUGUUGUUGAUAUUAAUUUUACCAAUAUUAUUUGUAUGAUUUAUCAAUUACUACCGUAUAUCUUUAGUAGAAAUCGCUUUAGUAUUAUUGUCCUGAAUUUUGAUGAAUAUAUAAAGACUAUAGUAAUUGGGAUUCAGUUAUAGCAAAUCACCAUCACAAACAAACCCCUAACCAUUUAGAUAAACCUUACUUACAAACUUCUCUUACACUUUCUUUGUUUUGGUAUGAUCUCUAAUUCUACUACCCUUUAAAACAAGCAAUCCUUAAUCCUAGGUAUACAUAUAAAUAAAUAAAAGAUAUGUUGCUUCGUUUCCUCAGUUUUGUUUAUUUCCUGGUAAGUAAUAUAUUUUCAACGGAAUUAGUGUGUAAAAUAUGAUGGAUAAGGGCAUCCCUAAUGGACCAUCAAAUCUGGUAUCAAACUCAAAUUUGGUAAAAAAACAACAAAACUCAUCUCUAAUGGACCAUCAAAUUUGAGUUGGUAGCAAAUUUUUAUCAAAUUUUCACCAAAUUUGGUGAAAAUUUGGUGUUUUUGGAGAAAUUUGAUACCACACUUGAGCGGGCAAGAGCGAACCGCUCAAAUUAAGUGGCUCAUGAACACCCGCUUUGGGCGGUCCUUCAUUACCCGCUCAAGUCUAGGCGGUUCUUCAUUGCCCGCUCAAGUUCAACCGUUACAUUGAGCGGCCCCCCAUUGCCCGCUCAAAUUAUAACAUAUUAGUUUGAUUGCAAUUAGUGAACAAAGUAGUUGGGAUUCAUCAGAACAAGAGAACAAAACUUUUUGAUGAAGAUAAAGUUGGGAUUUUUAGCAAUAUCAAAAUUUAAUUACAAAGCAAUACCAAAGAAGUUGAAAAAAAUAAGAUUUUUUAGCAACAACUCAAAAUUUAACAAUUUCAAAGUGCAACAAUAAAGAAUUUUGCAUUUACAUUACUCAAACUUUGUCAAAUCUAUUCUCAAAUUUGUCGAAUUGGUUCUUAAUCCCAUCUUCUAAAACUAAGAAAAAUAAGAAAAAAAAAAAAAAAAGAACAAAGGAAUCAUAGGAGAUUACCUCAGAACAAUGGGUUGAUUCACCAGUUGAUUCUUCAUCACAAUCCAUUAGAAUAAACUAGGGCUUUGGAAGAAGAAGAAGAAGAGGAGAUCAGUGAACAGAGAAACGUGAUUUUUUUCACUAAGAAUAUGGGCGGCCCUUGUUUGCCCGCCCCAUAACAUGCAAGUGGGUGUUAAAAGCCUGCCCCAAAGGAGCGGGUGUUAAAAGCCCGCUUAACCAAAACGGUUCUCUGUUGCCCGCUCAAGUUUGGUAAACCAUUAGAGAAAACGAUUUUUGGUAGCAAAUAAAACACAAAAUGGGUAUCAAAUGUGCUUAGGUGGACCACCAAAACAAAAAAACCAUUAGGGAUGCCCUAAGCUUAAACAUCUGGGUCUAUUUGCUCAAAUUUUAGACAAAGUGCCAUUUGGGAUCAUUACUCAACGCCUAUGCUGUCAGAGGCGCCGCCUCAGCGCCGCUCAGCGCCGCCUAGGCGCUAAUUUCACACAGGUACGCCUCGCUCUACAGAAACUACCGCUUAAAACGCACUGGGCCGCUUGGGCGGCGCUCAGGCCCAGCGCUCAGAGAGAAG
This 5515-nucleotide long non-coding RNA is filed under the name Aquilegia coerulea. Its description in RNAcentral is "long non-coding RNA (ACOE_LNC000572)". Lineage: Eukaryota; Viridiplantae; Streptophyta; Magnoliopsida; Ranunculales; Ranunculaceae. The record is from RNAcentral.